RNAcentral lists this ribosomal RNA (481 nucleotides) under Stemonitopsis typhina. Its description in RNAcentral is "eukaryotic LSU rRNA". The stretch from base 149 to 302 matches the Rfam family "5.8S ribosomal RNA". Lineage: Eukaryota; Evosea; Eumycetozoa; Stemonitida; Stemonitidae. The record is from RNAcentral.
UUUUGUCUUAUAUAUGUUUCAUAUUUUGUAGAUGAAUUAGUCCUUUUGUUAUCUUUGAGUCUUGUGUCCUAUUGGUGUUCGCCCACCAUUAGGACAAACAUAAACCUUUUGUAAUUGCAAUCAGCGUCAGUAACAAAUUAAUAAUUACAACUUUCAACAACGGAUCUCUUGGUUCUGGCAUCGAUGAAGAACGCAGCGAAAUGCGAUAAGUAGUGUGAAUUGCAGAAUUCAGUGAAUCAUCGAAUCUUUGAACGCACAUUGCGCCCUUUGGUAUUCCAAAGGGCAUGCCUGUUCGAGCGUCAUUUGUACCCUCAAGCUUUGCUUGGUGUUGGGCGUCUUGUCUCUAGCUUUGCUGGAGACUCGCCUUAAAGUAAUUGGCAGCCGGCCUACUGGUUUCGGAGCGCAGCACAAGUCGCACUCUCUAUCAGCAAAGGUCUAGCAUCCAUUAAGCCUUUUUUCAACUUUGACCUCGAUCAGAGAC